AUCUCCCUGUCGGCAAGGCGGCGACGCGGAGGGGGACGGGCAUGCGUGCCAUUAGCUGGUUGGCGGGGCGACGGCCCACCAAGGCUACGAUGGCUAGGGGAUCUGAGAGGACGGUCCCCCACACUGGUACUGAGACACGGACCAGACUCCUGCGGGAGGCAGCAGUAAGGGAUAUUGGUCAAUGGGGGGAACCCUGAACCAGCCAUGCCGCGUGAGGGAAUGAGGCCCUACGGGUCGUGAACCUCUUUUAUCUGGGGACAAUACGGGGCACGAGAUGCCCCGUUGAGGGUACCAGAGGAAUAAGCAUCGGCUAACUCCGUGCCAGCAGCCGCGGUAAUACGGAGGAUGCGAGCGUUAUCCGGAUUCAUUGGGUUUAAAGGGUGCGCAGGCGGCUCGUCAAGUCAGCGGUGAAAGCCCGGGGCCCAACCCCGGAAGUGCCGUUGAUACUGUCGGGCUGGAAUGCGGUCGAGGCGGGCGGAACGUGGCGUGUAGCGGUGAAAUGCGUAGAUAUGCCACAGAACGCCGAUAGCGAAGGCAGCUCGCCAGGCCUGCAUUGACGCUCGGGCACGAAAGCGUGGGGAUCGAACAGGAUUAGAUACCCUGGUAGUCCACGCCGUAAACGAUGGGCGCUCGUCGUCGGCGGCAGAAUGUCGGCGGCCAAGCGAAAGCGAUAAGCGCCCCACCUGGGGGAGUACGGUCG
Molecule: ribosomal RNA, 700 nt
Filed under: uncultured rumen bacterium
Lineage: Bacteria
Description: bacterial SSU rRNA
Rfam family: Bacterial small subunit ribosomal RNA
Source: RNAcentral